This 403-nucleotide ribosomal RNA is filed under the name bacterium. Its description in RNAcentral is "partial 16S ribosomal RNA". It matches the Rfam family "Bacterial small subunit ribosomal RNA", at positions 355 to 776 of the family's 1533-position model. The record is from RNAcentral.
UGGGGAAUAUUGCACAAUGGGCGAAACCCUGAUGCAGCGACGCCGCGUGAACGAAGAAGGUAUUCGUAUCGUAAAGUUCUGUCCUAUGGGAAGAUAAUGACAGUACCAUAGAAGAAAGCUCCGGCUAAAUACGUGCCAGCAGCCGCGGUAAUACGUAUGGAGCGAGCGUUGUCCGGAAUUAUUGGGCGUAAAGGGUACGCAGGCGGUUUAAUAAGUCGAAUGUUAAAGAUCGGGGCUCAACCCCGCAAAGCAUUGGAAACUGAUAAGCUUGAGUAGUGGAGAGGAAAGUGGAAUUCCUGGUGUAGUGGUGAAAUACGUAGAUAUUAGGAGGAAUACCAGUAGCGAAGGCGACUUUCUGGACACAAACUGACGCUGAGGUACGAAAGCGUGGGGAGCAAACAGG